AAGUCGUAACAAGGUUUCCGUAGGUGAACCUGCGGAAGGAUCAUUAUCGAGUUAGGGUCUUUAUGGCCCGACCUCCCAACCCUGUGUCUACAUUACCACGUUGCUUCGGCGAGCCCGCUGCUUGUAAAAGAGUGGCCGCCGGAGGGUGUUACACCCCUCUGGUCCGUGCUCGUCGAUAGCCCAACACGAACCCUUGAUCAAUUAUGUUGUCUGAGUAGCAAACAAAAUAAAAUAAAA
RNAcentral lists this unclassified non-coding RNA (237 nucleotides) under plant metagenome. RNAcentral describes it as "partial contains small subunit ribosomal RNA and internal transcribed spacer 1". The stretch from base 1 to 46 matches the Rfam family "Eukaryotic small subunit ribosomal RNA", at positions 1786 to 1831 of the family's 1831-position model. The record is from RNAcentral.